This 227-nucleotide ribosomal RNA is filed under the name bacterium. RNAcentral describes it as "partial 16S ribosomal RNA". It matches the Rfam family "Bacterial small subunit ribosomal RNA", at positions 675 to 899 of the family's 1533-position model. The record is from RNAcentral.
GUAGCGGUGAAAUGCGCAGAUAUCAGGAGGAACACCGGUGGCGAAGGCGGAUCUCUGGGCCAUUACUGACGCUGAGGAGCGAAAGCGUGGGGAGCGAACAGGAUUAGAUACCCUGGUAGUCCACGCCGUAAACGUUGGGAACUAGGUGUUGGCGACAUUCCACGUCGUCGGUGCCGCAGCUAACGCAUUAAGUUCCCCGCCUGGGGAGUACGGCCGCAAGGCUUAAA